UCACGCUGGGAGCUGUAGACCGGAGCUGUUCCUAUUCGGCCAUCUUGAAUUGUAGGCAUUUUUAAAAACAGACUCUGGAGAUGAAUCUUUUCUAGUUAUAUACUUUGUAUUACAUUUAUGCACUGUCUGCUGCCAAAGAUCUGAAACCAAUGAUCUCAUAUAUAUGGUACAGUUUUCUAGUUAUUUACAGUGGGAGAGUAAAUUAUCCAUGCUCAGAAGUAGUGUGUACUAGUCUCAGUAAGUCAAUGGGUUUCCCUGGAUCCAGGCUUGGAGAAAAUGUUUUCUCUUCUCUAUCUGCAAUUCUCCUGAACCAAUUCUGACGGAUAAUAUGACUGUGUCAACCACAAAAGAGGAAAAGAAUGGGCUUUAAAUCCCGCCUUUACAGCCAUCCAAGGCAGCUCCUUCUUCAAAGGAUGGAACUUUAAGGAUGGAACCAAUUGGCUACAAAUCAUUUUAGCUGAUGCACUGAGACAAUUCUGAAGCAAACUGUCUUAUCCUGGAUUUUGUCAGUAACUGGAGUUGAAGGACUUGAAGAUUCUCAAGGAUUGAUCCAGAAUAUGUUCCAGCAAAAACUACAGCAGAGUAACUUUGACAAGAAAAAUGUUCACUUGCUACCUAAGGAGAGUCUCUGUCUCCUGACCUCUGAAUUUCGAAAUCCUCAGCUCUGGCUGCCACGCAGUGGGAACCGAAUGAGAUGGCUGGGCAGGGUUCUGCAACACAGCAGAAACCCCAGGCUUCCCAAGACCCAGGAUCAGAACUGUAUAAUGUCACUUCUGCCUCACUUUGUUGGACAAAGUAUGUCACAAGAUCAUCUCAGUGGUGGUAAAAUUAUUAUUAUUAUUAUUUUAAGGCAGAGUCUCACUUUGUCACCCAGGCUGGAGUGCAGUGGUGUGAUC
RNAcentral lists this long non-coding RNA (896 nucleotides) under Homo sapiens (human). RNAcentral's name for it is "HSALNT0362263". The record is from RNAcentral. Lineage: Eukaryota; Metazoa; Chordata; Mammalia; Primates; Hominidae.